CACGCCCUAAACGAUGUCAACUGGUUGUUGGGAAUUCACUUUCUCAGUAACGAAGCUAACGCGUGAAGUUGACCGCCUGGGGAGUACGGCCGCAAGGUUAAAACUCAAAGGAAUUGACGGGGACCCGCACAAGCGGUGGAUGAUGUGGAUUAAUUCGAUGCAACGCGAAAAACCUUACCUACCCUUGACAUGUCAGGAAUCCUUGAGAGAUUGAGGAGUGCCCGAAAGGGAACCUGAACACAGGUGC
RNAcentral lists this ribosomal RNA (247 nucleotides) under uncultured bacterium. RNAcentral describes it as "partial 16S ribosomal RNA". It matches the Rfam family "Bacterial small subunit ribosomal RNA", at positions 796 to 1041 of the family's 1533-position model. The record is from RNAcentral.